RNAcentral lists this ribosomal RNA (280 nucleotides) under uncultured Streptococcaceae bacterium. RNAcentral's name for it is "partial 16S ribosomal RNA". It matches the Rfam family "Bacterial small subunit ribosomal RNA", at positions 529 to 809 of the family's 1533-position model. The record is from RNAcentral. Lineage: Bacteria; Bacillati; Bacillota; Bacilli; Lactobacillales; Streptococcaceae.
AGGUCCCGAGCGUUGUCCGGAUUUAUUGGGCGUAAAGGGAGCGCAGGCGGUCAGGAAAGUCUGGAGUAAAAGGCUAUGGCUCAACCAUAGUGUGCUCUGGAAACUGUCUGACUUGAGUGCAGAAGGGGAGAGUGGAAUUCCAUGUGUAGCGGUGAAAUGCGUAGAUAUAUGGAGGAACACCAGUGGCGAAAGCGGCUCUCUGGUCUGUCACUGACGCUGAGGCUCGAAAGCGUGGGUAGCGAACAGGAUUAGAUACCCUGGUAGUCAAGGGCGAAUUCGC